GAAGUAACUGAAGGUCCCACUCGAGACUGCAGGUGGGGGGCUGGAUUGUACCCCUUUGUGGAUCACCUUGUGAAAGGAGGAAGAAUAGUUGCUUACAAGAUCAGGUGGUUUAGCGGCCGUUGGUCACCUUGGUUUGUUCCUGGAGUGAAUGAUGUGGAUGCAAAGUUCAGGACCCUUACAGCCAUCGUUGUUCAGUUCCAGCCAAGGCCAAGACAAUGAGGAGGGAGUGGUCGUAUUUCUACGACCACACACACAAAUACAUCCUCUGUACAAUGCAGUAGACGAUGUAUCUACAGAACAGCCUGAAUAAACGAUGCACCUCG
Gigantopelta aegis is the source of this 323-nucleotide long non-coding RNA. RefSeq lists it as uncharacterized. NCBI's taxonomy places the organism in Eukaryota, Metazoa, Mollusca, Gastropoda, Neomphalida, Peltospiridae. The transcript is spliced from 2 exons. The record is from RefSeq and is a predicted model, not a curated record.